RNAcentral lists this ribosomal RNA (197 nucleotides) under uncultured bacterium. RNAcentral describes it as "partial 16S ribosomal RNA". It matches the Rfam family "Bacterial small subunit ribosomal RNA", at positions 328 to 539 of the family's 1533-position model. The record is from RNAcentral.
ACGCUCGACACCUACGGGAGCAGCGGUGGGGAAUAUUGCACAAUGGGGGAAACCCUGAUGCAGCGACGCCGCGUGAGCGAAGAAGUAUCUCGGUAUGUAAAGCUCUAUCAGCAGGGAAGAAGAUGACGGUACCUGACUAAGAAGCACCGGCUAAAUACGUGCCAGCAGCCGCGGUAAUCUGAGCGGGCUGGCAAGGC